Molecule: ribosomal RNA, 253 nt
Filed under: uncultured bacterium
Lineage: Bacteria
Description: partial 16S ribosomal RNA
Rfam family: Bacterial small subunit ribosomal RNA
Source: RNAcentral
UACGUAGGGGGCUAGCGUUGUCCGGAAUCAUUGGGCGUAAAGAGCGCGUAGGCGGCCAGCUAAGUCCGGUGUGAAAGUCACAGGCUCAACCUGUGAAUGCCGCUGGAAACUGUCUGGCUAGAGUCCGGAAGGGGCGAGUGGAAUUCCUGGUGUAGCGGUGAAAUGCGCAGAUAUCAGGAGGAACACCAAUGGCGAAGGCAGCUCGCUGGAACGGUACUGACGCUGUGGCGCGAAAGCGUGGGGAGCAAACAGG